This 815-nucleotide ribosomal RNA is filed under the name uncultured Pseudomonadota bacterium. RNAcentral's name for it is "bacterial SSU rRNA". It matches the Rfam family "Bacterial small subunit ribosomal RNA", at positions 59 to 870 of the family's 1533-position model. Lineage: Bacteria; Pseudomonadati; Pseudomonadota. The record is from RNAcentral.
AAGUCGAGCGAGAAAGUCCCUUCGGGGAUGAGUACAGCGGCGGACGGGUGAGUAACACGUAAGAAUCUGCCCUAUAGUGAGGAAUACCCUCGAGAAAUUGAGGUUAAUACUGCAUAAGUCCCUGCGGGGAGAAAAGCAUCUUUUAUGUUGCUGCUAUAGGAUGAGCUUGUGGACUAUCAGCUUGUUGGUGAGGUAAAGGCUCACCAAGGCUAUGACGGUUAACCGGCCUGAGAGGGUGUACGGUCACAUAGGCACUGAGACACGGGCCUGACUCCUACGGGAGGCAGCAGUGGGGAAUAUUGCGCAAUGGGCGAAAGCCUGACGCAGCGACGCCGCGUGGAGGAUGAAGGUCUUCGGAUUGUAAACUCCUGUCAGAUGGGAAGAAAAGUUUAUGUUUAAUAGACGUAGAAUAUGACGGUACCAUCAGAGGAAGCACCGGCUAACUUCGUGCCAGCAGCCGCGGUAAUACGAAGGGUGCGAGCGUUAUUCGGAAUCACUGGGCGUAAAGGGUGCGUAGAUGGCUUGUUAAGUUCGUUGUUAAAGGCUCUGGCCUAACCGGAGUAUUGCAAUGAAAACUGGCAGACUAGAGGGUGAGAGAGAGAAGUGGAAUUCCUGGAGUAGCGGUAAAAUGCGUGGAUCUCAGGAGGAACACCAAUGGCGAAGGCAGCUUCUUGGCUCAUUCCUGACAUUGAGGCACGAAAGCGUGGGGAGCAAACAGGAUUAGAUACCCUGGUAGUCCACGCCGUAAACGAUAAUCACUAGAUGUUGGUUCGGCUUAGCUGGAUCAGUGUCGUAGCUAACGCGUUAAGUGAUUC